Molecule: ribosomal RNA, 465 nt
Filed under: uncultured bacterium
Lineage: Bacteria
Description: partial 16S ribosomal RNA
Rfam family: Bacterial small subunit ribosomal RNA
Source: RNAcentral
CUACGGGCGGCUGCAGUGGGGAAUAUUGGACAAUGGGGGAAACCCUGAUCCAGCAAUGCCGCGUGUGUGAAGAAGGCCUGCGGGUUGUAAAGCACUUUCGGUUGGGAGGACUGCUUCUAGCACUAAUAUUGUUGGAAGUUGACGUUACCUUCAGAAGAAGCACCGGCUAACUCCGUGCCAGCAGCCGCGGUAAUACGGAGGGUGCAAGCGGUAAUCGGAAUUACUGGGCGUAAAGCGCGCGUAGGCGGCUAGAUCAGUCGGGUGUGAAAGCCCCGGGCUUAACCUGGGCACUGCAUCCGAUACUGUCUAGCUUGAGUACAGGAGAGGGGAGUGGAAUUCCACAUGUAGCGGUGAAAUGCGUAGAUAUGUGGAGGAACACCAAUGGCGAAGGCAGCUCUCUGGCCUGAUACUGACGCUGAGGUGCGAAAGCGUGGGGAGCAAACAGGAUUAGAUACCCCAGUAGUC